GACGAACGCUGGCGGCGUGCUUAACACAUGCAAGUCGCACGGGGUAGCAAUACCCAGUGGCGAACGGGUGCGUAACACGUGAGGAACAUACCUUUUGGGUGGGGGAUAGCCGGCCCAACGGCCGGGUAAUACCGCGUACGCCCUUCGGGUGGCAUCACCUGAUGGGGAAAGCAGCAAUGCGCCAAUUGAGUGCCUCGCGGCCUAUCAGCUAGUUGGUGAGGUAACGGCUCACCAAGGCGACGACGGGUAGCUGGUCUGAGAGGAUGAUCAGCCACAUUGGGGACUGAGACACGGCCCAGACUCCUACGGGGAGGCAGCAGUGGGGAAUCUUGCGCAAUGGCCGAAAGGCUGACGCAGCGACGCCGCGUGUGGGAUGACGGCCUCGGUUGUAAACCACUGUCGGGAGGGACGAAGCUCUGACGGUACCUCCAAAGGAAGCACCGGCUAACUCUGUGCCAGCAGCCGCGGUAAUACAGAGGGUGCGAGCGUUGUCCGGAAUCACUGGGCGU
This 509-nucleotide ribosomal RNA is filed under the name uncultured bacterium. RNAcentral's name for it is "bacterial SSU rRNA". It matches the Rfam family "Bacterial small subunit ribosomal RNA", at positions 28 to 561 of the family's 1533-position model. The record is from RNAcentral.